GGCAUGUUAGCUCAGUUGGUUAGAGCGUGGUGCUAAUAAUGCCAAGGUCGUGGGUUCGAUCCCCAGCAUGCUUCU
Non-coding RNA from Physeter macrocephalus (sperm whale), 75 nucleotides. The record is from the annotation of a RefSeq genome assembly. Lineage: Eukaryota; Metazoa; Chordata; Mammalia; Artiodactyla; Physeteridae.